GGCCUUAGCCUAGCGGUUAGGACGUGGGAUCCCGAAGAUGCCGAAUAUUUCCCAUAACCCCAGUUCAAAUCCGGGAGGUACCU
Thelephora ganbajun is the source of this 83-nucleotide non-coding RNA. Lineage: Eukaryota; Fungi; Basidiomycota; Agaricomycetes; Thelephorales; Thelephoraceae. The record is from the annotation of a GenBank genome assembly.